GGUUGUGGCUCAAUGGCAGAGCAUCUGUCUUGCAUGCAGAAGGUUCCAGGUUCAAUCUCCAGUGACAAACA
Molecule: transfer RNA, 71 nt
Filed under: Sphaerodactylus townsendi
Lineage: Eukaryota; Metazoa; Chordata; Lepidosauria; Squamata; Sphaerodactylidae
Description: tRNA-Ala
Rfam family: tRNA
About the family: Transfer RNA (tRNA) molecules are approximately 80 nucleotides in length. Their secondary structure includes four short double-helical elements and three loops (D, anti-codon, and T loops).
Source: RNAcentral